AAAGGACGACAUUAGACGAAUCAUCUGGAAAGAUGAAUCAAAGAAGGUAAUAAUCCUGUAGUCGAAAAUGUUGUCUCUCUUGAGUGGAUCCUGAGUACGACGGAGCACGUGAAAUUCCGUCGGAAUCUGGGAGGACCAUCUCCUAAGGCUAAAUACUCUCUAGUGACCGAUAGUGAACCAGUACCGUGAGGGAAAGGUGAAAAGCACCCCGGAAGGGGAGUGAAAUAGAACCUGAAACCGUGUGCUUACAAGUAGUCAGAGCCCGUUAAUGGGUGAUGGCGUGCCUUUUGUAGAAUGAACCGGCGAGUUACGAUUUGAUGCAAGGUUAAGCAGUAAAUGUGGAGCCGUAGCGAAAGCGAGUCUGAAUAGGGCGUUUAGUAUUUGGUCGUAGACCCGAAACCAGGUGAUCUACCCUUGGUCAGGUUGAAGUUCAGGUAACACUGAAUGGAGGACCGAACCGACUUACGUUGAAAAGUGAGCGGAUGAACUGAGGGUAGCGGAGAAAUUCCAAUCGAACCUGGAGAUAGCUGGUUCUCUCCGAAAUAGCUUUAGGGCUAGCCUCAAGUGAUGAUUAUUGGAGGUAGAGCACUGUUUGGACGAGGGGCCCCUCUCGGGUUACCGAAUUCAGACAAACUCCGAAUGCCAAUUAAUUUAACUUGGGAGUCAGAACAUGGGUGAUAAGGUCCGUGUUCGAAAGGGAAACAGCCCAGACCACCAGCUAAGGUCCCAAAAUAUAUGUUAAGUGGAAAAGGAUGUGGCGUUGCCCAGACAACUAGGAUGUUGGCUUAGAAGCAGCCAUCAUUUAAAGAGUGCGUAAUAGCUCACUAGUCGAGUGACACUGCGCCGAAAAUGUACCGGGGCUAAACAUAUUACCGAAGCUGUGGAUUGUCCUUUGGACAAUGGUAGGAGAGCGUUCUAAGGGCGUUGAAGCAUGAUCGUAAGGACAUGUGGAGCGCUUAGAAGUGAGAAUGCCGGUGUGAGUAGCGAAAGACGGGUGAGAAUCCCGUCCACCGAUUGACUAAGGUUUCCAGAGGAAGGCUCGUCCGCUCUGGGUUAGUCGGGUCCUAAGCUGAGGCCGACAGGCGUAGGCGAUGGAUAACAGGUUGAUAUUCCUGUACCACCUAUAAUCGUUUUAAUCGAUGGGGGGACGCAGUAGGAUAGGCGAAGCGUGCGAUUGGAUUGCACGUCUAAGCAGUAAGGCUGAGUAUUAGGCAAAUCCGGUACUCGUUAAGGCUGAGCUGUGAUGGGGAGAAGACAUUGUGUCUUCGAGUCGUUGAUUUCACACUGCCGAGAAAAGCCUCUAGAUAGAAAAUAGGUGCCCGUACCGCAAACCGACACAGGUAGUCAAGAUGAGAAUUCUAAGGUGAGCGAGCGAACUCUCGUUAAGGAACUCGGCAAAAUGACCCCGUAACUUCGGGAGAAGGGGUGCUCUUUAGGGUUAACGCCCAGAAGAGCCGCAGUGAAUAGGCCCAAGCGACUGUUUAUCAAAAACACAGGUCUCUGCUAAACCGUAAGGUGAUGUAUAGGGGCUGACGCCUGCCCGGUGCUGGAAGGUUAAGAGGAGUGGUUAGCUUCUGCGAAGCUACGAAUCGAAGCCCCAGUAAACGGCGGCCGUAACUAUAACGGUCCUAAGGUAGCGAAAUUCCUUGUCGGGUAAGUUCCGACCCGCACGAAAGGCGUAACGAUUUGGGCACUGUCUCAACGAGAGACUCGGUGAAAUCAUAGUACCUGUGAAGAUGCAGGUUACCCGCGACAGGACGGAAAGACCCCGUGGAGCUUUACUGUAGCCUGAUAUUGAAAUUCGGCACAGCUUGUACAGGAUAGGUAGGAGCCUUUGAAACGUGAGCGCUAGCUUACGUGGAGGCGCUGGUGGGAUACUACCCUAGCUGUGUUGGCUUUCUAACCCGCACCACUUAUCGUGGUGGGAGACAGUGUCAGGCGGGCAGUUUGACUGGGGCGGUCGCCUCCUAAAAGGUAACGGAGGCGCUCAAAGGUUCCCUCAGAAUGGUUGGAAAUCAUUCAUAGAGUGUAAAGGCAUAAGGGAGCUUGACUGCGAGACCUACAAGUCGAGCAGGGUCGAAAGACGGACUUAGUGAUCCGGUGGUUCCGCAUGGAAGGGCCAUCGCUCAACGGAUAAAAGCUACCCCGGGGAUAACAGGCUUAUCUCCCCCAAGAGUUCACAUCGACGGGGAGGUUUGGCACCUCGAUGUCGGCUCAUCGCAUCCUGGGGCUGUAGUCGGUCCCAAGGGUUGGGCUGUUCGCCCAUUAAAGCGGUACGCGAGCUGGGUUCAGAACGUCGUGAGACAGUUCGGUCCCUAUCCGUCGUGGGCGUAGGAAAUUUGAGAGGAGCUGUCCUUAGUACGAGAGGACCGGGAUGGACAUACCUCUGGUGUACCAGUUGUCGUGCCAACGGCAUAGCUGGGUAGCUAUGUGUGGACGGGAUAAGUGCUGAAAGCAUCUAAGCAUGAAGCCCCCCUCAAGAUGAGAUUUCCCAACUUCGGUUAUAAGAUCCCUCAAAGAUGAUGAGGUUAAUAGGUUCGAGGUGGAAGCAUGGUGACAUGUGGAGCUGACGAAUACUAAUCGAUCGAAGACUUAAUCAA
RNAcentral lists this ribosomal RNA (2600 nucleotides) under Staphylococcus aureus. Its description in RNAcentral is "partial 23S ribosomal RNA". It matches the Rfam family "Bacterial large subunit ribosomal RNA", at positions 318 to 2925 of the family's 2925-position model. Lineage: Bacteria; Bacillati; Bacillota; Bacilli; Caryophanales; Staphylococcaceae. RNAcentral also lists the same sequence under 1 other name. The record is from RNAcentral.